Molecule: ribosomal RNA, 447 nt
Filed under: uncultured bacterium
Lineage: Bacteria
Description: partial 16S ribosomal RNA
Rfam family: Bacterial small subunit ribosomal RNA
Source: RNAcentral
CCAGACUCCUACGGGAGGCAGCAGUGGGGGAUAUUGCACAAUGGGGGGAACCCUGAUGCAGCGACGCCGCGUGGGUGAAGGAGCGUUUCGGCGCGUAAAGCCCUAUCGGCAGGGAAGAAGGAGGACGGUACCUGACUAAGAAGCCCCGGCUAACUACGUGCCAGCAGCCGCGGUAAUACGUAGGGGGCAAGCGUUAUCCGGAUUUACUGGGUGUAAAGGGGGCGCAGACGGCAGCGCAAGCCAGGAGUGAAAGCCCGGGGCCCAACCCCCGGACUGCUUUGGAAACUGUAUAGCUGGAGUGCAGGAGAGGUAAGUGGAAUUCCUGGUGUAGCGGUGAAAUGCGUAGAUAUCAGGAGGAACACCGGUGGCGAAGGCGGCCUGCUGGACUGCAACUGACGUUGAGGCCCGAAAGCGUGGGGAGCAAACAGGAUUAGAUACCCCGGUAGC